This 859-nucleotide ribosomal RNA is filed under the name Bacillus sp. LMR272. RNAcentral describes it as "bacterial SSU rRNA". It matches the Rfam family "Bacterial small subunit ribosomal RNA", at positions 70 to 913 of the family's 1533-position model. Lineage: Bacteria; Bacillati; Bacillota; Bacilli; Caryophanales; Bacillaceae. The record is from RNAcentral.
AGAAGGGAGCUUGCUCCCGGAUGUUAGCGGCGGACGGGUGAGUAACACGUGGGUAACCUGCCUGUAAGACUGGGAUAACUCCGGGAAACCGGAGCUAAUACCGGAUAGUUCCUUGAACCGCAUGGUUCAAGGAUGAAAGACGGUUUCGGCUGUCACUURCAGAUGGACCCGCGGCGCAUUAGCUAGUUGGUGGGGUAAUGGCUCACCAAGGCGACGAUGCGUAGCCGACCUGAGAGGGUGAUCGGCCACACUGGGACUGAGACACGGCCCAGACUCCUACGGGAGGCAGCAGUAGGGAAUCUUCCGCAAUGGACGAAAGUCUGACGGAGCAACGCCGCGUGAGUGAUGAAGGUUUUCGGAUCGUAAAGCUCUGUUGUUAGGGAAGAACAAGUGCGAGAGUAACUGCUCGCACCUUGACGGUACCUAACCAGAAAGCCACGGCUAACUACGUGCCAGCAGCCGCGGUAAUACGUAGGUGGCAAGCGUUGUCCGGAAUUAUUGGGCGUAAAGGGCUCGCAGGCGGUUUCUUAAGUCUGAUGUGAAAGCCCCCGGCUCAACCGGGGAGGGUCAUUGGAAACUGGGAAACUUGAGUGCAGAAGAGGAGAGUGGAAUUCCACGUGUAGCGGUGAAAUGCGUAGAGAUGUGGAGGAACACCAGUGGCGAAGGCGACUCUCUGGUCUGUAACUGACGCUGAGGAGCGAAAGCGUGGGGAGCGAACAGGAUUAGAUACCCUGGUAGUCCACGCCGUAAACGAUGAGUGCUAAGUGUUAGGGGGUUUCCGCCCCUUAGUGCUGCAGCUAACGCAUUAAGCACUCCGCCUGGGGAGUACGGUCGCAAGACUGAAACUCAAAGGAAUUGA